Zophobas morio is the source of this 596-nucleotide long non-coding RNA. RefSeq lists it as uncharacterized. Lineage: Eukaryota; Metazoa; Arthropoda; Insecta; Coleoptera; Tenebrionidae. The record is from RefSeq and is a predicted model, not a curated record. The transcript has 2 exons.
AUUAUUGCAGGAUCCGGACUCUUAUUAGACGUGUUCAAGAGGAUCUCAGGUUGUAUUACCAAAAAUUGACUUGAAACCACAUUUUACUAAAACAUUGAGGAAGGGGAUGGAGACGAGAUUGUUGCACCCAGGUGUCUCUUGACUGACUGACUCCUUCGACACUGAGAAGGAGAUCCGCUACCUGGAGCUGGCUGAAGCUGAGUUUUGGUGACUCUCAGUUGCACUACUGCGAGGUGAUGUUGAAGUGGAUCAACCAACACAUUAAAACAAGACCUGAACUACUCAGAGGACGACUUUCUGAUGGAAGAAGUACAGGAACGCUUUUGUUACGCUUAGGAGAGAUUGUCGUCCUGGAGACUGAGUCAAUUGAUAAGAGUUUGACUCCAAGUACCUACAAGAAAUAUUUUUGUUACUGGAGUUGAUAAUUUUCAAUAUGCUUCCAAUGGGGAGGAUCUACCAGAUGCUGGAAAUGUUUUCCCUUCUAAGGCCCCACUAUUGAGUGUAAUUUACAAGAAUUUAGUGUUUUUAAACAGAAAGGUGCGGGAGCACCAAUUGAAUGUAUAAGUUACCUAAAUAAAUUUACAUUUCGUACAUAA